RNAcentral lists this ribosomal RNA (218 nucleotides) under uncultured bacterium. Its description in RNAcentral is "partial 16S ribosomal RNA". It matches the Rfam family "Bacterial small subunit ribosomal RNA", at positions 640 to 856 of the family's 1533-position model. The record is from RNAcentral.
UCUGGAGUUUGGCAGAGGGGGGUGGAAUUCCACGUGUAGCAGUGAAAUGCGUAAAGAUGUGGAGGAACACCGAUGGCGAAGGCAGCCCCCUGGGCCAAUACUGACGCUCAUGCACGAAAGCGUGGGGAGCAAACAGGAUUAGAUACCCUGGUAGUCCACGCCCUAAACGAUGUCAACUAGGUGUUGGGAGGGUUAAACCUUUUAGUGCCGUAGCUAAC